This 492-nucleotide ribosomal RNA is filed under the name uncultured bacterium. Its description in RNAcentral is "partial 16S ribosomal RNA". It matches the Rfam family "Bacterial small subunit ribosomal RNA", at positions 29 to 507 of the family's 1533-position model. The record is from RNAcentral.
AGUGAACGCUGGCGGUAGGCCUAACACAUGCAAGUCGAACGGCAGCACAGUAAGAGCUUGCUCUUACGGGUGGCGAGUGGCGGACGGGAGAGGAAUACAUCGGAAUCUACUUUUUCGUGGGGGAUAACGUAGGGAAACUUACGCUAAUACCGCAUACGACCUACGGGUGAAAGCAGGGGAUCUUCGGACCUUGCGCGAUUGAAUGAGCCGAUGUCGGAUUAGCUAGUUGGCGGGGUAAAGGCCCACCAAGGCGACGAUCCGUAGCUGGUCUGAGAGGAUGAUCAGCCACACUGGAACUGAGACACGGUCCAGACUCCUACGGGAGGCAGCAGUGGGGAAUAUUGGACAAUGGGCGCAAGCCUGAUCCAGCCAUACCGCGUGUGUGAAGAAGGCCUUCGGGUUGUAAAGCCCUUUUGUUGGGAAAGAAAAGCAUCAGGUUAAUACCCCGCUGUUCUGACGGUACCCAAAGAAUAAGCACCGGCUAACUUCGUG